Molecule: ribosomal RNA, 464 nt
Filed under: uncultured Allobrachymonas sp.
Lineage: Bacteria; Pseudomonadati; Pseudomonadota; Betaproteobacteria; Burkholderiales; Comamonadaceae
Description: bacterial SSU rRNA
Rfam family: Bacterial small subunit ribosomal RNA
Source: RNAcentral
GACGGGACCCGCACAAGCGGUGGAUGAUGUGGUUUAAUUCGAUGCAACGCGAAAACCUUACCCACCUUUGACAUGGCAGGAAUCCUAAAGAGAUUUGGGAGUGCUCGAAAGAGAACCUGCACACAGGUGCUGCAUGGCUGUCGUCAGCUCGUGUCGUGAGAUGUUGGGUUAAGUCCCGCAACGAGCGCAACCCUUGCCAUUAGUUGCUACGAAAGGGCACUCUAAUGGGACUGCCGGUGACAAACCGGAGGAAGGUGGGGAUGACGUCAAGUCCUCAUGGCCCUUAUAGGUGGGGCUACACACGUCAUACAAUGGCCGGUACAGAGGGUAGCCAACCCGCGAGGGGGAGCCAAUCCCAUAAAGCCAUUCGUAGUCCGGAUCGCAGUCUGCAACUCGACUGCGUGAAGUCGGAAUCGCUAGUAAUCGUGGAUCAGAAUGUCACGGUGAAUACGUUCCCGGGUCUU